AUUGAACGCUGGCGGCAUGCCUUACACAUGCAAGUCGAACGGUAACGGGCCUUCGGGUGCCGACGAGUGGCGAACGGGUGAGUAAUACAUCGGAACGUGCCCGAUCGUGGGGGAUAACGAGGCGAAAGCUUUGCUAAUACCGCAUACGAUCUACGGAUGAAAGCAGGGGACCGCAAGGCCUUGCGCGGACGGAGCGGCCGAUGGCAGAUUAGGUAGUUGGUGGGAUAAAAGCUUACCAAGCCGACGAUCUGUAGCUGGUCUGAGAGGAUGAUCAGCCACACUGGGACUGAGACACGGCCCAGACUCCUACGGGAGGCAGCAGUGGGGAAUUUUGGACAAUGGGCGCAAGCCUGAUCCAGCCAUGCCGCGUGCAGGAUGAAGGCCUUCGGGUUGUAAACUGCUUUUGUACGGAACGAAAAGCCUUCUUUUAAUACAGGAGGGUCAUGACGGUACCGUAAGAAUAAGCACCGGCUAACUACGUA
This 482-nucleotide ribosomal RNA is filed under the name uncultured bacterium. Its description in RNAcentral is "partial 16S ribosomal RNA". It matches the Rfam family "Bacterial small subunit ribosomal RNA", at positions 30 to 507 of the family's 1533-position model. The record is from RNAcentral.